Molecule: non-coding RNA, 520 nt
Organism: Gasterosteus aculeatus aculeatus (three-spined stickleback)
Lineage: Eukaryota; Metazoa; Chordata; Actinopteri; Perciformes; Gasterosteidae
Source: RefSeq, a predicted model, not a curated record
UGAGAGUGUCAGAAGCAGUGGAGUCAACACUGCUGCAGUCACUGGUCCUUAUUAUGUUGUUGGGUUAAAAAUCCGAUUAAAAUCAUUGAUUCAGCCAUCAGACUUGGACAUCCAGGAUUUAUUGACGACGUUCCUAAAACGGCAGGGAUUGCCGCCUCAGUUUUCUCUGAAGAUCCAUCCUUGAAACCAGUGGAUGAAAGACAAGGAGUGCUUGGAGUUGGCAGCAGCGUGGCUAUCCAGACGGUGUUGGGGCUGGUGACCGGGCCGCUCACCUGCUCCUCACAUUAUCAGUUGUGUGUUUUUGAUGGUAUUUUCUCUUGCUUUGCAUAUUUUCUGAAUUGCAUGUUUGAUUUUUAUUUCCAUUCUUUGGUCUCAGUGUGUGGGGCACCGGAGUCGAUGACUCCCCCCCCCCCCCUUCUUGGCCCGCUGCAGUCCAACUAAUUAUUAGAGUUAAUCGGAUUUGCUUUGUAUGAAUGUUAUAUUUUAAGAAAAAUGUUUAAAUAAAUGUACUCUGAGUGAA